GCCCUUGUAGUUUAAUGGAUAAAACAAGUCCCUCCUAAGGACUAGAUCUCGGUUCGACUCCAGGCAAGGGCA
This 72-nucleotide transfer RNA is filed under the name Candidatus Kaiserbacteria bacterium. Its description in RNAcentral is "tRNA-Arg". It matches the Rfam family "tRNA". Rfam says of the family: Transfer RNA (tRNA) molecules are approximately 80 nucleotides in length. Their secondary structure includes four short double-helical elements and three loops (D, anti-codon, and T loops). Lineage: Bacteria; Candidatus Kaiseribacteriota. The record is from RNAcentral.